RNAcentral lists this ribosomal RNA (431 nucleotides) under uncultured bacterium. RNAcentral's name for it is "partial 16S ribosomal RNA". It matches the Rfam family "Bacterial small subunit ribosomal RNA", at positions 29 to 506 of the family's 1533-position model. The record is from RNAcentral.
ACGAACGCUGGCGGCAGGCCUAACACAUGCAAGUCGAGCGAGGACUUCGGUUCUAGCGGCGGACGGGUGAGUAACGCGUGGGAAUGUGCCCUUCUCUACGGAAUAGCCCUGGGAAACUGGGAGUAAUACCGUAUACGCCCUAUUGGGGAAAGAUUUAUCGGAGAAGGAUCAGCCCGCGUUGGAUUAGGUAGUUGGUGGGGUAAUGGCCUACCAAGCCGACGAUCCAUAGCUGGUUUGAGAGGAUGAUCAGCCACACUGGGACUGAGACACGGCCCAGACUCCUACGGGAGGCAGCAGUGGGGAAUCUUAGACAAUGGGGGCAACCCUGAUCUAGCCAUGCCGCGUGAGUGAUGAAGGCCUUAGGGUUGUAAAGCUCUUUCAGCUUGGAAGAUAAUGACGGUACCAGCAGAAGAAGCCCCGGCUAACUCCGU